Long non-coding RNA from Bos taurus (domestic cattle), 815 nucleotides. The record is from Ensembl. NCBI's taxonomy places the organism in Eukaryota, Metazoa, Chordata, Mammalia, Artiodactyla, Bovidae.
GGAAAACCACCUGUGUGCGGCCGGCGCGGCGCGCAGGGGGUGGAGGUGGGGGGUUGCGGCCGGAAGGCGCGGGCCCCAAUCCGGCCGCCCCUCCCUAACCCCGGGCGGAAAGAGGCCGCGCAUUGUCCCGUCGCCGCCGCCGCCGCCGGGGAGGCGGAAGCGGAGGCAGCGGCUCGGCUGGGAGCGGCUUUUCCGAGCGCCCUCGCGGCGCUCUGCGCCCACCGCGGAUAUCUCCGGGGGCACCUGAGGUCGCGGGGUCUCCCCAAGCUAGACGCCCUGCACCCACGGGCCUGCCUGCUGACGCCCCCGCUCUAAUUUGCAUCUUUAGUCACCCGCCUCUUCCCUGGUUUGGAGAAUGUAGGCUUAAAAAAAAAAAAAAAAAGGCGGCUGCUAGGCCCAGGUUGCCAAUUUUGGAGCUUUGCUGCGGUCGGGCCGCCCCUGGAGGAGCGUGCUGGGAGAAGGUGGGGUUGCAACGCUUUUUGGCUCCCUGCGCCUUUUUUGGGCAUCUGGUGGAACAGAACUCGCAUGUUUCACUGGAUACCAUCCGGUUUGAGCUGGAGGAGGCCUGCGCGGGAGAAUGGACCCAGUCCUUUCCAUCCCAACGAUGCUGUGUGAGGCCUAAGAACCCGCCUGGAAUUCCCUAGUCUCAGGAGAAAUCCUCUGAGGAACUGCGCUAAGCAGUGUAAUCCAUCGCGAUUCAGAUGUCAAGAAAAGCACGUGCUGUGACAGACCGGCACCAAAAUCCUUUAAACCAGUUAGAUACAAAAUAUACCCAGCUACCUUUCUAACUUCUCCCUACUGCUUCCCUCUUAAAC